AGAUUGAACGCUGGCGGCAUGCCUUACACAUGCAAGUCGAACGGCAGCACGGGAGCAAUCCUGGUGGCGAGUGGCGAACGGGUGAGUAAUAUAUCGGAACGUGCCCAGUCGUGGGGGAUAACGCAGCGAAAGCUGUGCUAAUACCGCAUACGAUCUAUGGAUGAAAGCGGGGGAUCGCAAGACCUCGCGCGAUUGGAGCGGCCGAUAUCAGAUUAGCUAGUUGGUGGGGUAAAAGCCUACCGAGGCGACGAUCUGUAGCUGGUCUGAGAGGACGACCAGCCACACUGGAACUGAGACACGGUCCAGACUCCUACGGGAGGCAGCAGUGGGGGAAUUUUGGACAAGUGGGCGAAAGCCUGAUCCA
RNAcentral lists this ribosomal RNA (364 nucleotides) under uncultured soil bacterium. RNAcentral describes it as "bacterial SSU rRNA". It matches the Rfam family "Bacterial small subunit ribosomal RNA", at positions 26 to 390 of the family's 1533-position model. The record is from RNAcentral.